GUUGCAUAAGCGCUGUGGCGGGCUCGCACCUGCGUGACCCGGGCAGAGGAGCCUAAAACCUCCACUGUGACUAAGGCAGAACAAAACCCGUCCAGGAUAAGGCCGCGAGUUAGUUUUUAACGCGACACGUCCUCCCAGCGGGAGUACCUGCCCUGAGUUGGGCACCCGAGCCUUGGCACCGAUCGAGCAUUUGUGACAGCAGGCUUUAUUUUCAUCAUGUUAAGGAGAAUUAAUAAGAUUCCCCUCAACGUCAGUUUGCUGGUCUGUCUCGUGUUAUGCAACGCAGAGGAAACUGGGAGCUUUCAGAUUGUUAAACUAAGGCAGCAAAUAUGUUUAAAAUGUUACAUAAGUAUAUGAUGAUACAGGAAUGAUUAUUAGUGGGGCCUGUUUCUCUGUAACACCACUUAGCUUGUGAAGGGUUCCUGUAAAGAGGAACAGUUUGGGCUUGGCCUUCUGUCACAUCUGAGUGCAUGUGCAGGGUCAUAGGACAGCAUGUAGGUUGAGGCACUGAUUCUGACCUUUAGCUUGCAAAUUCUCCCAAAGAGCAACUUUUUUGUGGUUACCCUUAGUGUGGUGUUCCAAGGAGUCUGAAUGAGGCAAAAAAAUCUCAAACCUAUUUUCCUGUUAAAGCCUUUAAUGUAAUUAGAACUGAGGGUUCACUAGGAGAUACAGCGAGCACAUAUGUCCACAGUUGGACUGAGUAUUUGGACUCCCAGGCUCCUGAGAUAAAUUCGUGGCAAAGUUAGUAACUGGGAAACCCAGAAGUAUGGUCAGGAUUUUCAACAGCCUCUCUGAGCAGAGAAUAAACAGUGCUUUUUAAUCAGUCCCAGUGCUAUGACCUUGCAGUAGCUGCCCAAGCUUAACUUAGAAACUACUAGAGAACAGGAAAAAAAUGCACUCAGAAAAUGUGAAUUUAAUAUUAAGAAUUUAUGAUGGACAAAGAUUGCAGUAUUUCACUGUCAGUGGAAGAUUGUUCUUAUUGUAUGAUGUUUAGUCUUAUUUCUAACCAAUUUACUUUUGUUAGAAUGUUGAGAUACCUUCAGGUGACUUACUGUUAAGUUAUAAAUUAAUCCCCACUCUGUUUGUCACAAUUCAUUUUUUCCAAGGUUGUCAAAAAAAAGACCAACCCAACCCUUCUGUUUGUUAUAUGUCUGUGUUUGUUUACAUAGUCUCUUGUAAUUCUACUUCAGAAUCAGUUGUUGGCAAGGUAGAUAACACAGCCACAAAGAAGAUUUUUUUUUUUGCAAUUUAUAUUUUUUAUUUUAAUAAGCAAAAGUUGUAACUAGAAACAGUAGUCGAGAGUUUUUUAAA
Sturnus vulgaris (Common starling) is the source of this 1311-nucleotide non-coding RNA. The record is from RefSeq and is a predicted model, not a curated record. Lineage: Eukaryota; Metazoa; Chordata; Aves; Passeriformes; Sturnidae.